Molecule: long non-coding RNA, 1806 nt
Organism: Metopolophium dirhodum (rose-grain aphid)
Lineage: Eukaryota; Metazoa; Arthropoda; Insecta; Hemiptera; Aphididae
Exons: 4
Source: RefSeq, a predicted model, not a curated record
UUAACGAGUAGUAGGUACAGUGCGCUAUGAUAUACAUUUUAAUGUACUCGUCGUCCGAUGACGAUGUUGGGUUGCGUCGCGUUUCAACGGCGAGAACUUGUGUUGACUCUGUACCGGCGAUCGCCGAUUACGGUCUCGCCGUCAAAGCCGGAGCGGUGGACACUGACUACGUCCGGGGCAGGACAGUGUAUGGCUGUUGGUCGUGCAGAGCAUCCAGAUCCGUCACAUGCCAAGGUCCAACGACAUCCGCCGCCGCCGUAUCACAGUUCCUACGAUACACGUCAUGGCUACGUGGCAGUGUGGCAAGACCGACGCUGUACCUGCUGUUGUCGCAGCUACGAUUGUGUGUACCGGCGCGGAGUCCCGCAGCCUAAAAUGUAUUAAAUUUCUAUUCUUUUUCGCCGGUACUGCAGCUGUAAGUUCUGUCGACGCCUAUGCCAUUUGUAUUGAGUCUCAUCGCCUCCGAGCCGACAGUGUUUUCUAUUCGGUACCCACGCCAUCGGUCGGCGUAACACUAAUAAUAUUUAUUACAAUAAAUUAACGACCAGCACUACAGUGCGUUAUAAUACAUUUUAAUGUUCUCAUGGUCCGACGACGCCGAUUUCGAUUUCGCGUAUCGUAAAAACGCGCAUUUUCGUGAUUUUUGUGCAUUUUAUCCAUCGUUUACCUACGUAUGCUAAGUUGCGUCGCGUUUCAACGGCGAGAACUUGUGUUGACUGUGUACCGGCGAUCGCCGAUUACGGUCUCGCCGUCAAAGCCGGAGCGGUGGACACUGACUACGUCCGGGGCAAGGAUAAUGUAUAGCUGCUGGUCAUACAGAGUAUCCAGGUCCGUCACAUUCCUACUAGUUGCUGCUUAGUUUUACUUUGGCUGCAAGCAUAUUGUGAAACCCGUGUGGAACUCUGAGUAUGAUAUCUUUAGCUAUUGAUAGAGCAUUCAAUUUGACGACAACUUGCAAUGGCUAACAUUUAAAAACCAACCGUGUGGGUCAACAUUUAUACUAUCCCGGGUAAACAACGAUUCACUAUAAUUGAGUGGGAAUACUACUUGAACCAGCGGCAGGCGUAAGGACCGGUCUCGUUUCGGAAUAAUAUAUGCAUUACGAAAAUAUGAUCUUCCAGAUAAUUUACAAGACGUGUACGACCGAAACCCCGGAGGAGUAUACCUACCUAAGACCGUCAAAUAAAUUAUUGUGAGUAUCGAACACGUCAUGUAACAGCUAGGGACGACAUUUUGGGAGUAUAAGCAUGUUUAUUUGGAACGGUAUUUAUAGUGUUUAAGAAAAAACAAAUGAAAUAGGCGGAAUAUUGGUAGGUGCCAUAAGAUAUUUUGUUUUAAGUCAAAACUCAGUUGUUCGAAACAUUUGAAUUUUUAAAAUUUUAAACUAAAAUAAACAAACUUAAAUUAUAUUAAUGAUAUGUACACACAAAUAAAAAUUUAAACCAUUCUCGAUGUAUAGAUGCAAUAAUAAUAAUAAUAAAAAAAUGGUGGGCAAGGGAGAACCGCACUGCUUAAGAACCUUAAUUUUUCGUAGGUUUUUCUUGACGCUUUUGUAAACAUUCUCAAUUUUGUCUCGUCGAAUGCACCAACCAGAAAAGUUGAAGAAAAUUUGAAAAUUGAAGCAUUGUUUCGAUUACUUAUCGUGUACAGAUACAUAAAAAGAAAAAACAUAUUAAUAAAACAUAUUAAUGUAAAAUCAAUACAUUCAUUCACUCUGCUCGGAAUCUAAAAUCGUAAAUAAAAUAAUAUUAUUCAAACACCUAUUAUAUUAAUUCAAUAUAGUUUUACAAAUAUUUUAAGUUUAAU